AAUACGAGAUGCUAAGGCAUUGAAGUGGUUGAUGUCAUACUUCCAAGAAAAGCUCGAACUAGCAUAAAUACUAAAUGCCUGUACCUUAAACCGACACAGGUAGGUAGGUAGAGUAUACCAAGGGGCGCGAGACAACUCUCUCUAAGGAACUCGGCAAAAUAACCUCGUAACUUCGGAAGAAGAGGUGCCCUUUAAAAAGGGUUGCAAUAACCAGACCCUGGCGACUGUUUACCAAAAACACAGGUCUCCGCAAAUUCGUAAGAUUAAGUAUGGAGGCUGACGCCUGCCCAGUGCCGGAAGGUUAAAGAAGUUGGUCAAUCCUCGGAUGAAGCUAGCGACUGAAGCCCCGGUGAACGGCGGCCGUAACGAUAACGGUCCUAAGGUAGCGAAGUUCCUUGUCGGGUAAGUUCCGACCCGCACGAAAGGCGUAACGAUCAGGGUGCUGUCUCGGAGAGAGGCUCGGCGAAAUAGACAUGUCUGUGAAGAUGCGGACUACCUGCACCUGGACAGAAAGACCCUAUGAAGCUUUACUGUAUCUUGGAAUUGGGUUUGGGCUUUGUUUGCGCAGGAUAGGUGGGAGGCUUUGAAGAUAUUCUUGUGGGAAUGUUGGAGCCAACGGUGAGAUACCACUCUAGCAAGGCUAAAAUUCUAACUUUGAACCGUUAUCCGGUCAAAGAACAGUUUCAGGUGGGCAGUUUGACUGGGGCGGUCGCCUCCUAAAAAGUAACGGAGGCGCGCAAAGGUUCCCUCAGGCUGGUUGGACAUCAGUCGUAGAGUGUAAAGGCAUAAGGGAGCUUGACUGCGAGACCUACAAGUCGAGCAGAGACGAAAGUCGGCCUUAGUGAUCCGACGGUUCCGAGUGGAAGGGCCGUCGCUCAACGGAUAAAAGUUACUCUAAGGAUAACAGGCUGAUCUCCCCCAAGAGUUCACAUCGACGGGGAGGUUUGGCACCUCGAUGUCGGCUCAUCGCAUCCUGGGGCGGUAGUACGUCCCAAGGGUUGGGCUGUUCGCCCAUGAAAGCGGUACGCGAGCUGGGUUCAGAACGUCGUGAGACAGUUCGGUCCAUAUCCGGUGCAGGCGUUAGAUCAUUGAAAGGAGUCCCCCUUAGUACGAGAGGACCGGGGGGAAUACACCUCUGGUGUACCAGUUAUCAUGCCAAUGGUAAACGCUGGGUAGCCAUGUGUAGUGUGGAUAACUGCUGAAAGCAUCUAAGUAGGAAGCCCACCUUAAGAUGAGUGCUCUCACCGCUAUAAGCGGGUAAGAUCACGGUAAGAACAACCGUUAUAUAGGCACUAAGUGUACGUACAGUAAUGUACUUAGCUAAGGUGUACUAACAGAUCGAGGGC
This 1346-nucleotide ribosomal RNA is filed under the name metagenome. RNAcentral's name for it is "bacterial LSU rRNA". It matches the Rfam family "Bacterial large subunit ribosomal RNA", at positions 1566 to 2925 of the family's 2925-position model. The record is from RNAcentral.